RNAcentral lists this transfer RNA (74 nucleotides) under Sladenia gardineri. Its description in RNAcentral is "tRNA-Val". It matches the Rfam family "tRNA". From Rfam's summary of the family: Transfer RNA (tRNA) molecules are approximately 80 nucleotides in length. Their secondary structure includes four short double-helical elements and three loops (D, anti-codon, and T loops). Further hydrogen bonds mediate the characteristic L-shaped molecular structure. tRNAs have two regions of fundamental functional importance: the anti-codon, which is responsible for specific mRNA codon recognition, and the 3' end, to which the tRNAs corresponding amino acid is attached (by aminoacyl-tRNA synthetases). tRNAs cope with the degeneracy of the genetic code in two manners: having more than one tRNA (with a specific anti-codon) for a particular amino acid; and 'wobble' base-pairing, i.e. permitting non-standard base-pairing at the 3rd anti-codon position. The record is from RNAcentral. Lineage: Eukaryota; Metazoa; Chordata; Actinopteri; Lophiiformes; Lophiidae.
CAGAGUAUGGCUAAACACAUCUAAAGCAUCUCCCUUACACUGAGAAGAUAUCUGUGAAAAUCGGAUUACCCUGA